UACAGAGGUCUCAAGCGUUGUUCGGAUUUAUUGGGCGUAAAGAGCGUGUAGGCGGCCAGGUAGGUCUGCUGUGAAAACUCGAGGCUCAACCUCGAGACGUCGGCGGAAACCAUCUGGCUAGAGUCCGGAAGAGGAGAGUGGAAUUCCUGGUGUAGCGGUGAAAUGCGCAGAUAUCAGGAAGAACACCCGUGGCGAAGGCGGCUCUCUGGGACGGUACUGACGCUGAGACGCGAAGGCCAGGGGAGCAAACGGG
Molecule: ribosomal RNA, 253 nt
Filed under: uncultured bacterium
Lineage: Bacteria
Description: partial 16S ribosomal RNA
Rfam family: Bacterial small subunit ribosomal RNA
Source: RNAcentral